Molecule: long non-coding RNA, 647 nt
Filed under: Zonotrichia albicollis (white-throated sparrow)
Lineage: Eukaryota; Metazoa; Chordata; Aves; Passeriformes; Passerellidae
Description: lncRNA (ENSZALG00000011387.1)
Source: RNAcentral
GUCUCUGCCUUAGGGAAUAUGCUUCCUGCUCUUUAACUCCCUGCAAACUGGUAGUUUUUGGGGAUAAACCCUGAAAGUUCAGCUCUCCUUGCCUGUGGUGCCAAUGCUUCCUGCUCACACUGGCCUCACACCAGGUUAAUUCCACUGCUGUGGUGAUUUGCAUGAGUACAAGCACAAAAACCCUCAUGCAAGCUGGAAAGGCUUUACCAUUAUUUCCCCAACACUGAAAUAUGUGUCUGCAGUGUGGUGCUUUUUAGCACAGCAUCCACUCAGAUGGUGGGGAAUUCAUCACAGCCCAGGGUACUUCAGAAAUCAUCCCAGCCUUUGUGCUGGGGUUUAGACAUAGGCCAGGAGCUCUCAAGGACAACCACCAGCCAUGUUCUACACCUGCAAGUCUACCUGGAGGGGACCUGAAUGGCACUGCCAGAUUUCUCAUGGCUCUUCAGAAUGCCUGGGUUUGGGAUGGCCCCCGUUCUGAUGGUGUUUCAGAGCUGUUCUACAGGACUGUGGCUGUUAGUUGUGUAAUUUGGAUUUAUAUACAGUGACUGAUCAUGUGCCAAGAGUUUUAUUAUGGACAACAAAUCCCAUUCAAUCAACAGCAGAGCCCAAACAGCCAUUGUUGAGCCCCAGUGCUUAGAACAGAGUUG